This 460-nucleotide ribosomal RNA is filed under the name uncultured bacterium. RNAcentral describes it as "partial 16S ribosomal RNA". It matches the Rfam family "Bacterial small subunit ribosomal RNA", at positions 338 to 795 of the family's 1533-position model. The record is from RNAcentral.
CCUACGGUAGACAGCAGUGAGGAAUAUUGGUCAAUGGACGAGAGUCUGAACCAGCCAAGUAGCGUGAAGGAUGACUGCCCUAUGGGUUGUAAACUUCUUUUAUAAAGGAAUAAAACGAGGCACGUGUGCCUUUUUGCAUGUACUUUAUGAAUAAGGAUCUGCUAACUCCGUGCCAGCAGCCGCGGUAAUACGGAGGAUCCGAGCGUUAUCCGGAUUUAUUGGGUUUAAAGGGAGCGUAGAUGGGUUGUUAAGUCAGUUGUGAAAGUUUGCGGCUCAACCGUAAAAUUGCAAUUGAUACUGGCAGUCUUGAGUACAGUUGAGGUAAGCGGAAUUCGUGGUGUAGCGGUGAAAUGCUUAGAUAUCACGAAGAACCACGAUUGCGAAGGCAGCUUACUAAACUGUGACUGACAUUGAUGCUCGAAAGUGUGGGUAUCAAACAGGAUUAGAUACCCUUGUAGUC